Molecule: long non-coding RNA, 493 nt
Filed under: Brassica napus (rape)
Lineage: Eukaryota; Viridiplantae; Streptophyta; Magnoliopsida; Brassicales; Brassicaceae
Description: long non-coding RNA (BNAP_LNC024851)
Source: RNAcentral
AUUCAUUUGUUGUUUGUUCGCAUCUAUUGAAUGUUUAGGGGAGGGGAUCUUUAUAGUUAAGUUGGGUGAUAUGAUAAUGUUUGAAAAUUGUGUGUGUGAAAUGAGCCAGAAGAGUUUGCUUGUGUUCGUGAGUGUGACUGAGAUGAAUUUGUUUGGGAAAACUUUUGAGAUUUUUUCUUUUGGUUUUAGGAAGACGUUUCAUAGUUUUAGGAUAGCUUUCCAGAAACUUUGAUACUACUUGAAAAAAAUUUUUGGUUUGGUUUACGCAAGACAGGGACACAAUGGGAGUUUCAAUACCUUAAUUACUAGCUCUGCCUGAGCUCAAGUAUCCAAUUGGAUCAGAGCCAAAGUGAUUGAAGAACAUGACCAAUUUUGGUUUGGAUCAUCGCCUCCUCUCAACGUCAACGUCAUCGGAAAAAAAUCAAAUGCUGAAGCGACGAGCACCGAUCAAAAGUUUUGUUCUUCGCUCUCUGAAUCUGAGAUCUACAUAACU